RNAcentral lists this ribosomal RNA (406 nucleotides) under uncultured bacterium. RNAcentral describes it as "partial 16S ribosomal RNA". It matches the Rfam family "Bacterial small subunit ribosomal RNA", at positions 30 to 526 of the family's 1533-position model. The record is from RNAcentral.
AUUGAACGCUGGCGGCAGGCUUAACACAUGCAAGUCGAGCGAGCGGCGGACGGGUGAGUAAUGUCUGGGAAACUGCCCGAUGGAGGGGGAUAACGACUGGAAACGGUAGCUAAUACCGCAUACCAUCAGAUGUGCCCAGAUGGGAUGAGCUAGUAGGUGGGGUAAUGGCUCACCUAGGCGCCGAUCCCUAGCGGGUCUGAGAGGAUGACCAGCCACACGUGAACUGAGACACGGUCCAGACUCCUACGGGAGGCAGCAGUGGGGAAUAUUGCACAAUGGGCGCAAGCCUGAUACAGCCAUGCCGCGUGUGUGAAGAAGGCCUUCGGGUUGUAAAGCACUUUCAGCGAGGAGGCGUUACUCGCAGAAGAAGCACCGGCUAACUCCGUGCCAGCAGCCGCGGUAAUUC